UCAAAAGCUGAGAUGGAGAGAGUACGUGCGGGACUGGGUACAGAGAGUCGGCGGUCGCUGCGAGCCGAACCACAGGAAGCACGGAAGUACACUCCGGAGCUGUUAGGUGAACCCCUUGGUGGGUAGUAGCCUAAACCGGGCACUAACCAGUGCGCCGUUAUCCGUAAUCAAGUGAAAGGUGUUGUGCCUUUUAUUAGGGUGGUACCGCGAGAAGUCUCGUCCCUAUA
This 227-nucleotide non-coding RNA is filed under the name Paenalicyclobacillus ferrooxydans. Its description in RNAcentral is "Alicyclobacillus ferrooxydans T-box sequence". It matches the Rfam family "T-box leader". Rfam says of the family: Uncharged tRNA acts as the effector for transcription antitermination of genes in the T-box leader family. T-boxes are found upstream of many aminoacyl-tRNA synthetase genes and some amino acid biosynthetic genes usually in Gram-positive bacteria. Lineage: Bacteria; Bacillati; Bacillota; Bacilli; Caryophanales; Alicyclobacillaceae. The record is from RNAcentral.